This is a long non-coding RNA of Astatotilapia calliptera (eastern happy), 1439 nucleotides long. NCBI's taxonomy places the organism in Eukaryota, Metazoa, Chordata, Actinopteri, Cichliformes, Cichlidae. The record is from Ensembl.
CGCAGAUUUAGUCAAGUCUUUGUCACAGCUCUUUUAAGUGAAUUUCAUUUGCAAAGCUCCGGACUUUGAACGUUUACUGGGAAUACGUGCAUUGAAACUGUGCGGAUAAUUGGAUGAACGCUCUGAAGGGCUAGGUUUGCCCACUGAAGAUGUUAACUCUGCAUGCUAAAAAUGGUAUACGCAAAGCCACUGCAUUCAAAUUUGACGUUAAGACAUCCUACUCAAGCGUGCCUGGGUGAGGAGUUUGUAGUGAGACCGGUGUCAGUGCUGUGACAAUCGUGCACUUGUGUCUCUGCACACUGCAUGAAUCUCUGUGCAGCAGAAACAGUAGGGGCUGGGACUUUCAGUACAGAGCAGCAAUAACAUUUGGUAAUUAUUAUAUAUAAACUGUUUUGUACCAUUGUCAUCAGAAUAUUAUUGCUAUGUCUAAGCUAGCCACAAAAGAAAUCAUCAGGUAAACAGAGCAGGCUAAUUAGUUCCAUCAACAGCUGACACAUCUACAUUCAAACUCUCGAAUCAAUGUUUUAAAUGUUUAGCUGAAAGUAACGCCCUCACUGCAAGUAAAGUGCAAACUUGACCAAACCAAAUUCAAACGUUAUUGAUUUUUGAUUUGUUGAAAUGACCUUAUGAAUUGCACUUGAUAUAAUUAGCAAUAGUGUAAUGAUUUUUUGAAGUGUGGCAGUAAGCCACAGAGCAACUAUUUUAAAGGCCUUGAUUCUUUUUUUGUACAUAUUUUUAUUUAUUGAUUUUUUUUUUAAAUUUUUGCAUUACUGUGGUUUGUAAGAAUGUCACACUGUGUGUGAUUAUUGAGCAUUGAGACACACGAUGUGCAGUUCCUACAGAAGCUGAUGUUCAUCAGCUUUUGUACCAGAGUCAAAGGCUUUUUUUACACUGAGCUAAAGUUAUUAUGAUACAGCUAUGCUAGCGUUUGAUCAGCUAGUAACACCUUGUAAUUUAAUUUCAUUCUUCCUCUCUGUAAGAAAGAAGAUAACAAACCUUUUUAGUCCAGAAAAGAGUCCAACCUCAACUAUUGUACUAUUAUUGGGGAUGUGCGUGACUGUUUGGUUAGACAUUCAAAAGUUGCUAUCAUUGUUGGUCGAUGUCAGAAAUACUAGUCAGUUAAACAUGUUAUGUUAAUGUGUAAAGGUAGUUAUCGGAUCCAAGAUAUCGCAACACCAUAAGCUACUCACCUGGGCUGCAGCCGUGAUGGUCACCCUCUCCCUAUUGUGGUUUUGCAGACAUGUGACCAUUAACCAUGUGACAUUAACUUAUCUGCUAUUUUGGAUAUGUGACAAUCAUGGUGACAAUGUAGGAGCAAGUGAAUAAAGCCCCAGUCACACAGGCUUAGAGAUUGGUCUGUAAUCAUAUGGCAAUCACCAGUACUGAGGAAAAAAAUGACUAGUGGUUGGACGCAGUCGCUGGGGAAAUGAUUUGUAGAG